Equus caballus (horse) is the source of this 1159-nucleotide non-coding RNA. The record is from the annotation of a RefSeq genome assembly. Lineage: Eukaryota; Metazoa; Chordata; Mammalia; Perissodactyla; Equidae.
GCCUCACCCCUGUCUCCCUGUCAAGCCAAGACCAUGAGUAAGGAUAGGCCUGGCUCAAAACUGAAGCUUCCAGGCAGACAGCCCAGACCAGAUGCAAGAAGAAUGCCUCAGUGGCCUCAUGGGUGAAGGACUCAGGGACAUCCUUUCAUCCCAAUCCCCAUGGAACCUGGAACAAGUCUUCUUCGGAGAAGGCACGAGGCUCACGGUUGUAGGAAUGAGUUCAGAGGAGGGUCCCUGUAGGGGCAAAUUCAUCCAGCCCCUCAAGGGCCUCCAUCAACUCAGAGCUGAGCCUCGGUGGUUAGGGCAGAGAAGGGAAAGGAGGUGGUGCUGCCCCGCUGAGGAGUUACCUGAGAUAGGGGAGCGGAGAGAAAGCCUGGAAGAGAACCUGAACCAGGUGACCCUACCCAAGGUGGCUGUGUUUGAACCUUCGGAAGCAGAGAUCUCCCGCACCGAGAAGGCCACGCUCGUGUGCCUGGCCACAGGCUUCUACCCCGACCACGUGGAGCUGAGCUGGUGGGUGAAUGGGAAGGAAGUCCAGACUGGGGUCAGCACGGACCCUCAGCCCUACAGGGAGCAGUCAGAUGAUGAAAACCCCAGCUACUGUCUGAGCAGCCGGCUGAGGGUCUCUGCUGCCUUCUGGCACAACCCCCGCAACCACUUCCGCUGCCAAGUCCAGUUCUUCGGCCUCGAGGAGAACGAUGAGUGGAAAGAGAACCGGACCAAACCUGUCAGGCAGAACAUCAGUGCUGAGGCCUGGGGCAGAGCAGACUGUGGCCUCAGCUCAGUGUCCUAUCAGCGAGGGGUCCUGUCUGCCACCAUCCUCUAUGAGAUUCUUCUGGGGAAGGCCACCCUGUAUGCUGUACUGGUCAGCGCCCUCGUGCUGAUGGCCAUGGUCAAGAGAAAGGAUCCCUGAAGCCAGCUCAAAGGUGGAGCUAGAAGCUUCCAGACCAUUAUCACCCCACCAUGGAGUUUCCUUUUUCUUUUCCUAGCCAGGGCUUCUGAAGAGCUGUUCUCAUCUCUCUACUCAUCCUGAUAUCUACUCCCUCAAGUGCUUGCACACCUCGACACUCAUGACCAAAAUCUCUCUGACCCAAGGGGGACCCUAGUGUGCCUGUGUUGACUGAACCAAUAAAAAUGGCCUGUUCUGGCUUGACUCUGC